Molecule: ribosomal RNA, 491 nt
Filed under: uncultured bacterium
Lineage: Bacteria
Description: partial 16S ribosomal RNA
Rfam family: Bacterial small subunit ribosomal RNA
Source: RNAcentral
GAUGAACGCUGGCUACAGGCUUAACACAUGCAAGUCGAGGGGAAACGACGGGGAAGCUUGCUUCCCCGGGCGUCGACCGGCGCACGGGUGAGUAACGCGUAUCCAACCUGCCUCUGACUGAGGGAUAACCCGUCGAAAGUCGGCCUAAUACCUCAUGGCAUCGUCUGCGGGCGUCCAACGACGAUUAAAGAUUUCAUCGGUCAGGGAUGGGGAUGCGUCUGAUUAGCUAGUUGGCGGGGUAACGGCCCACCAAGGCGACGAUCAGUAGGGGUUCUGAGAGGAAGGUCCCCCACAUUGGAACUGAGACACGGUCCAAACUCCUACGGGAGGCAGCAGUGAGGAAUAUUGGUCAAGGGGCGAGAGCCUGAACCAGCCAAGUAGCGUGCAGGAUGACGGCCCUAUGGGUUGUAAACUGCUUUUAUGCGGGGAUAAAGUGAGGGACGUGUCCUUCAUUGCAGGUACCGCAUGAAUAAGGACCGGCUAAUUCCGUG